UGAAGAAAUUUUUCCUAAUAUGCAGUCUAAACCUCCCCUAGUGCAGAGUGAGGCUGUUACCUCUUGUCCUAUUGCUUGUUAGUGGGGAGAAGAGACCUACUCCUACCUCUCUUCCUUUCAGGUAGUUGUAGAGAGCAAUAAGGUCUGCCCUGAGCUUUCUCUUCUCCAUUACUCUGAAGACAACAGAUUUAGCAUGCUUUCUUCAUUUAUAAACCAUACACAGGCACUCAUGCUUAUGCAUGGGGUAUUUCAGUAUCUGUGCUGCUCCUUAAAGACACUGUUGUGUUAGGAAAAGUAUCAUCAAAGUCAGAUUGGACAGAGCUCUGAGCAACCAGAUGUCAUUGAAGAUGGCCUGCUCAUUGUAGGCGGGGUUGGACUGGUUGACCUUUAAAGGUCCCUUCCAACACAGACCAUCCUGUGAUCAUGCUUCAGUGAGGAGCUAACUGAAGUGUUUUGGGGUUUCUGAAGUCAGCUGAGAAAUAGAAGGUUGUGUCAGUUAAACAUCACACAUUGUAAUAACACUUACGGGAAAAAAAAAAAAAAAAAAGACCUUAAAGCUUCAUUUCUGCUUAAUUGAAUUGUAUCAAAAAAGUGUGUGUGUUUAUAUAUGUUGGUAAUUUAUAACAUUCUGGUUGGUUCUGCUGUAAUAUGGCUACUGAAUUAUCAUAUAUUCCUUAAUAAAUUGCUAUUCAGUUUUGUUGUUGAAUGAUUUAACUUUGAACCACGGACACUUUGAGUUUUAUGAAAUAUAAAUAUGAGUUAGGAUUCUCUGUCUUUGUCUUUUCAAG
Long non-coding RNA from Neopsephotus bourkii (Bourke's parrot), 788 nucleotides. RefSeq lists it as uncharacterized. The record is from RefSeq and is a predicted model, not a curated record. The transcript has 2 exons. NCBI's taxonomy places the organism in Eukaryota, Metazoa, Chordata, Aves, Psittaciformes, Psittacidae.